UACGAAGGGGGCUAGCGUUGUUCGGAUUUACUGGGCGUAAAGCGCACGUAGGCGGAUCUUUAAGUCAGAGGUGAAUCCCAAGGCUCAACCUUGGAACUGCCUUUGAUACUGGAGAUCUUGAGUCCGGGAGAGGUGAGUGGAACUGCGAGUGUAGAGGUGAAAUUCGUAGAUAUUCGCAAGAACACCAGUGGCGAAGGCGGCUCACUGGCCCGGAACUGACGCUGAGGUGCGAAAGCGUGGGGAGCAAACAGG
RNAcentral lists this ribosomal RNA (252 nucleotides) under uncultured bacterium. RNAcentral describes it as "partial 16S ribosomal RNA". It matches the Rfam family "Bacterial small subunit ribosomal RNA", at positions 524 to 776 of the family's 1533-position model. The record is from RNAcentral.